AUUGAACGCUGGCGGCAGGCCUAACACAUGCAAGUCGAACGGUAACAGGGAUCAGCUUGCUGAUUCGCUGACGAGUGGCGGACGGGUGAGUAAUGUCUGGGAAACUGCCUGAUGGAGGGGGAUAACUACUGGAAACGGUAGCUAAUACCGCAUAACGUCGCAAGACCAAAGAGGGGGACCUUCGGGCCUCUUGCCAUCGGAUGUGCCCAGAUGGGAUUAGCUAGUAGGUGGGGUAAGGGCUCACCUAGGCGACGAUCCCUAGCUGGUCUGAGAGGAUGACCAGCCACACUGGAACUGAGACACGGUCCAGACUCCUACGGGAGGCAGCAGUGGGGAAUAUUGCACAAUGGGCGCAAGCCUGAUGCAGCCAUGCCGCGUGUAUGAAGAAGGCCUUCGGGUUGUAAAGUACUUUCAGCGGGGAGGAAGGGAGUAAAGUUAAUACCUUGGCUCAUUGACGUUACCCGCAGAAGAAGCACCGGCUAACUCCGUG
Molecule: ribosomal RNA, 490 nt
Filed under: uncultured bacterium
Lineage: Bacteria
Description: partial 16S ribosomal RNA
Rfam family: Bacterial small subunit ribosomal RNA
Source: RNAcentral